Molecule: long non-coding RNA, 290 nt
Filed under: Capsicum annuum
Lineage: Eukaryota; Viridiplantae; Streptophyta; Magnoliopsida; Solanales; Solanaceae
Description: long non-coding RNA (CANN_LNC015497)
Source: RNAcentral
AACACCAUCUGUGGAGGAUAACUUGGAGCCUAGAGCGGAAUUCAUCUCCAAACUUCAACAAGGAAGUAAUCCCAAGGAUUACAAACACUCUGAUGAUUAUUGAAGAAGUUUUAUGUGUUCCAAGCAAUAUUUAUACCAUUAAAGAGUGUUUUAGAGUACUAAAUGCAUAUAAGAAGGAUCAAGGGUCAUUGAAGAGGUUAAAGGAGUGCAAGACGGGGCUAAAAAGCCUACUAGAGGUGACCUGCGCCCCACAUGCGGACUAGGUGCCCUUGACUUGAUCAAGAAGGUGG